This 99-nucleotide ribosomal RNA is filed under the name Vreelandella maris. RNAcentral's name for it is "partial 16S ribosomal RNA". It matches the Rfam family "Bacterial small subunit ribosomal RNA", at positions 1 to 95 of the family's 1533-position model. Lineage: Bacteria; Pseudomonadati; Pseudomonadota; Gammaproteobacteria; Oceanospirillales; Halomonadaceae. The record is from RNAcentral.
UAAACUGAAGAGUUUGAUCAUGGCUCAGAUUGAACGCUGGCGGCAGGCCUAACACAUGCAAGUCGAGCGGUAACAGGGGUAGCUUGCUACCCGCUGACG